GACGAACGCUGGCGGCGUGCUUAACACAUGCAAGUCGAACGGAAAGGCCCUGCUUUUGUGGGGUGCUCGAGUGGCGAACGGGUGAGUAACACGUGAGUAACCUGCCCUUGACUUUGGGAUAACUUCAGGAAACUGGGGCUAAUACCGGAUAGGAGCUCCUGCUGCAUGGUGGGGGUUGGAAAGUUUCGGCGGUUGGGGAUGGACUCGCGGCUUAUCAGCUUGUUGGUGGGGUAGUGGCUUACCAAGGCUUUGACGGGUAGCCGGCCUGAGAGGGUGACCGGCCACAUUGGGACUGAGAUACGGCCCAGACUCCUGCGGGAGGCAGCAGUGGGGAAUAUUGCACAAGGGGCGGAAGCCUGAUGCAGCAACGCCGCGUGCGGGAUGACGGCCUUCGGGUUGUAAACCGCUUUCGCCUGUGACGAAGCGUGAGUGACGGUAAUGGGUAAAGAAGCACCGGCUAACUACGU
RNAcentral lists this ribosomal RNA (467 nucleotides) under uncultured bacterium. RNAcentral describes it as "partial 16S ribosomal RNA". It matches the Rfam family "Bacterial small subunit ribosomal RNA", at positions 28 to 506 of the family's 1533-position model. The record is from RNAcentral.